AUGAAAAACCUCUCUUUUUUCCUUGUUCUUGCUGUCAUUUCAACCGGCCUCCUUCUUUCCCCAACAACCACUGCUGACAUGCCUCCACCCUCCACCAUGUGUUUCAACAACUGUCCUUGCCACAAUCCACCAUGUGGUGAUGGUGUUCCCCCCGGUUUCCCAUCUGUCGCCACUGCCACCGCCACCUCCACCGCCAAGAUUCCUGCUGCUGCAGAAGAUGAUAAUAAUUAG
RNAcentral lists this long non-coding RNA (231 nucleotides) under Vicia faba (fava bean). Lineage: Eukaryota; Viridiplantae; Streptophyta; Magnoliopsida; Fabales; Fabaceae. The record is from RNAcentral.